This 460-nucleotide ribosomal RNA is filed under the name uncultured bacterium. Its description in RNAcentral is "partial 16S ribosomal RNA". It matches the Rfam family "Bacterial small subunit ribosomal RNA", at positions 338 to 795 of the family's 1533-position model. The record is from RNAcentral.
CCUACGGGAGGCAGCAGUGAGGAAUAUUGGUCAAUGGGCGCGAGCCUGAACCAGCAAAGCAGCGUGAAGGAUGAAUGCCCUACGGGUUGUAAACUUCUUUUAUAAAGGAAUAAAGUGAGGCAAGUGUGCCUUUUUGUAUGUACUUUAUGAAUAAGGAUCGGCUAACCCCGUGCCAGCAGCCGCGGCAAUACGGGGGGUGCAAGCGUUGUCCGGAAUCAUUGGGCGUAAAGAGUUCGUAGGUGGCACGUUAAGUCUGGUGUUAAAGGCGGAAGCUCAACUUCCGUAGGGCACUGGAUACUGGCGAGCUUGAGUGCGGUAGAGGUAAAGGGAAUUCCUGGUGUAGCGGUGAAAUGCGUAGAUAUCAGGAGGAACAUCGGUGGCGUAAGCGGUUUACUGGUCCGUAAUUGACGCUGAGGAACGAAAGCCGGGGUAGCAAAUGGGAUUAGAUACCCCAGUAGUC